GUUCCAUGAGCACCACCUCUGAGCACCAUCCUGAAGCCUGCAAGACUGCCUUGGUGAAUAUUUGCUGAAGGGAUGAGGCUCUGCUAGCCCCCAAUGGAACACACGAUGCUGUAUCUCGCUGGUCAGGGGGAGGCUGCUUAGCUCCUCCACAUCCCAUCUCAAAUGCCUAGAGGAAGCAAAUGGAAUUGAAAAUGCUUUAUUUGAAACUGAGCUGAACACCAUCGUCGCUCUUGAUUGCUCUCAUUCCUGUUCAUCAUCUACCUGGAGACCUCUAGAGAAGGUGCAGGCCAUGCCAACUUCCUUGCUGAAGCUGUUCGCUGUUAUUGACCUGAAUAAUCCCCUCCACAGCUGCAGCCUGAGAUAUCAUUAUAUACACAGAAUGAAGAUCAAAUUCAGUCUUGGUACAUCCUGAGGGGAUAUGUUUCAAA
Long non-coding RNA from Gallus gallus (chicken), 428 nucleotides. Lineage: Eukaryota; Metazoa; Chordata; Aves; Galliformes; Phasianidae. The record is from Ensembl.